UCAUCAGUGAUAUUACCAAUACCAAGCCUGAUAGAGUCCUUUGUGGUCAAGGUGAAAAAUUUUCCCUGACUUCUUUGAAAGCCUAUCUAGGACAUUGAUGAUGACUGACCUUGAAGGUGUUGAAGACCUGUAAAGUAUCCUUGUCUCCGGAAUCAUGGUUUUAUGAUUCUCAACAUUCCAUCAUGGAGAAGGAUCCCCACCCUACUUCAAAAGCCUUUUUGAAGGUCAGAAUGCAUUCUGUGAGUGGCAGCUCAUGUCACAUACCUCUGGAAAUCAGUUCUCUAAUACACAACUGUUUUGUAAUUUCAUCUAUUUUCUGCAUGUGGUUUGAUCACUUCCAGGCUGGUAUCCAGGGGGAGACUUGAGAACCAUCUCAGAGACAGAAGUGGACUUUUUAGCAGCUUGCUUAUUCCCAGGCUGAAGUCAAGAGUUCAUGGCACGAAUUAAGGAAGAAUUAAAAUGCUUAUGUAUCAACUAAUGCUGAUGAAAUUCAGUCUGAGGCUUCAAGAGUUAAUAUCCCAUCAUGUUCUUGAUGUUAUCCCAUUGCAUUAAUAUGGUUUGCUCGUUGAGUUCCUGAGGGUGGGGAAUGAGAGGAACUUGUGAGUGGCCUCUGGUUUUACCAGUGUACAAGGGAGGAAGUCUGGAGUGGCUGAAAUUCCCCCUUGCACACAGAUCCAGGUGAGUGGUGAGCAGGCUUCUUUCAAAAGCAGAACCUGUGGCACAUGGGCAUUGACUGAAAGGGAACAAACCAGACAGAGAAACUUCACUUUUCCAAGACAUUAGUAACUAACUGCAAAGCAAGAAAGCAUUUUGCAGAAUGAGAGUAGCCAGGCCCCAUCCCCUACAUCCUGCCCUGUUCAUCUCUGCCACUGCCAGAACCUGAGUAUGAAGGGCAUUUGUUCAGCGCAGCCAAAUGCAAGCAGAACAGUGGGAUAAAGAGGGGUAGAAAAUCAAGUGAGCAGAGCUAACACAAAAUGGAGACAAGGUAUUUCAGCACCUGACUCUUUGAGCAAGAGUCUAUAAAUCUUGUUCUCACUGUUAAAGGCACUCAAGACCGGAGGGAAGUCAUCAUGAGGGACAUGUAAUACUUUAUCCUUUUCCCCACUCACUUUCUCCAUGAAGGAAUUAUGAAGAGAAGAGUUCACAAGAAACAAAUAAGAGGACAAAGUAUCUUUCACUGAAUUUACUCUCGUGCAAAGCCAAUGACGCAAGUCUCCUGGGCAUAAAUUCAGUGUUUUGUAUAAACCUAAGGCUGUGUAUUUGAUACUUCAUACUGUUUUUUUCCAACCUGCUAAGUAUUGCCACGUAAUUUCCACACAGGACUAUUAUUAACACAAGUCUGUGCCACUGCUGUGGCCUCACAGAAGUUACCAGGACCGUGUCUUCAUGAUAAAUCAUUAAACAUGAGAGCAGCACCAUCCUUGUGGUUCAUGUACAGUGGGAAGCAC
This is a long non-coding RNA of Parus major (Great Tit), 1448 nucleotides long. RefSeq lists it as uncharacterized. The record is from RefSeq and is a predicted model, not a curated record. NCBI's taxonomy places the organism in Eukaryota, Metazoa, Chordata, Aves, Passeriformes, Paridae. The transcript is spliced from 3 exons.